Molecule: ribosomal RNA, 427 nt
Filed under: uncultured bacterium
Lineage: Bacteria
Description: partial 16S ribosomal RNA
Rfam family: Bacterial small subunit ribosomal RNA
Source: RNAcentral
GUGGGGAAUAUUGGGCAAUGGGGGAAACCCUGACCCAGCGACGCCGCGUGAGGGAAGACGGCCUUCGGGUUGUAAACCUCUUUUGUACGGGAAGAAGGAAGUGACGGUACUGUACGAAUAAGUCCCGGCUAACUACGUGCCAGCAGCCGCGGUAAUACGUAGGGGACGAGCGUUGUCCGGAAUUACUGGGCGUAAAGGGCGCGCAGGCUGUGCUGCAAGUCAGCUGUGAAAUGUCUGGGCUUAACCCGGGCAUGCGGUUGAGACUGCAGUGCUGGAGUGCUGUAGAGGCAAGUGGAAUUCCCAGUGUAGCGGUGAAAUGCGUAGAUAUUGGGAAGAACACCGGUGGCGAAGGCGACUUGCUGGGCAGCAACUGACGCUGAGGUGCGAAAGCCAGGGGAGCAAACGGGAUUAGAUACCCGGGUAGUCC